UCCAGCAUGCGUUUUGUGAAUUUAAAACAAUGUUUCCAUCUUCCAUACAAGCUUCAUCGUUUCCCGUGGCACGAGGCAGCAGGUUUGCAGUGCGCGAGGGCAUACAGAGACGCGCCACGCGCAAUUUCUCUGACCAACAUCCAAUAUAAGAGGAAUAGACCGCUCGAUCCGGUCGGUUAACGUUAGAGCUUAUCGCUAUUCACUUGGGAAUCGAAUCUUCGUAUUGCGCGUUUAAAGAUGGCCUAUUUUCCGGCCAUCAAAAGGACAGUGAAGAAGAGAUGAUGGAGUUGAACAAGGGUUUAGAGAGAAUGAUUGAAGACGUAGAACAACUACCAGCUGGCAUGGAUGGCCAAUGACAUGAAGAUGCAGUGGACCAGUCCUACGGAGGCUUCAGGAAGAGUUCCUCCGCUGCAGGGCUGUCAUCUGUGGCUUCCCUGGGGAACAGGAGCCGAACCGGAGACAGGGACUGGGAAAGGACCAGGGGAUGGGGAAGUGGAUGGAGUGACCUAGACCAGGGGAUGGAUGCCACCACCUCCCCACUUCACCAGGAAUGUCUGCUGUUCUGAAAUGGACCAUAAUCCAAAUCUAGUAGCCCGUGCUCUGUAUGCUUGUCUACAACGUUGUAUGUACAGUAGGCUACAGUCUCAUAUCUGCAGCUGCAGUCUCUUUCUCUCUGACAGAAGAGGAAACCACUGGAGAUAGGUGAUAGAGAUAGAUGUCCCCUGUCCCAUACUGCAUGCUGUCUAAGUUGAGCAGCAGGCUGUUGUAUGGUGCUGUUGUAUACAGAUUGUGGUUGUGUGUUAAGUACCUGUUAUAGAAUGUGUAUGAUACGUCUCUGGACAGGGUGUUCAAGGCACUAUAGUGUUGUUGUGAUUGUUAUUCAUUUGUGGUUUGCCUGUUUGUCAAAUCUUUUAUUAAAA
Molecule: long non-coding RNA, 920 nt
Organism: Oncorhynchus gorbuscha (pink salmon)
Lineage: Eukaryota; Metazoa; Chordata; Actinopteri; Salmoniformes; Salmonidae
Exons: 3
Source: RefSeq, a predicted model, not a curated record